This 680-nucleotide ribosomal RNA is filed under the name Lactiplantibacillus plantarum. RNAcentral describes it as "bacterial SSU rRNA". It matches the Rfam family "Bacterial small subunit ribosomal RNA", at positions 57 to 702 of the family's 1533-position model. Lineage: Bacteria; Bacillati; Bacillota; Bacilli; Lactobacillales; Lactobacillaceae. The record is from RNAcentral.
GCAAGUCGAACGAACUCUGGUAUUGAUUGGUGCUUGCAUCAUGAUUUACAUUUGAGUGAGUGGCGAACUGGUGAGUAACACGUGGGAAACCUGCCCAGAAGCGGGGGAUAACACCUGGAAACAGAUGCUAAUACCGCAUAACAACUUGGACCGCAUGGUCCGAGCUUGAAAGAUGGCUUCGGCUAUCACUUUUGGAUGGUCCCGCGGCGUAUUAGCUAGAUGGUGGGGUAACGGCUCACCAUGGCAAUGAUACGUAGCCGACCUGAGAGGGUAAUCGGCCACAUUGGGACUGAGACACGGCCCAAACUCCUACGGGAGGCAGCAGUAGGGAAUCUUCCACAAUGGACGAAAGUCUGAUGGAGCAACGCCGCGUGAGUGAAGAAGGGUUUCGGCUCGUAAAACUCUGUUGUUAAAGAAGAACAUAUCUGAGAGUAACUGUUCAGGUAUUGACGGUAUUUAACCAGAAAGCCACGGCUAACUACGUGCCAGCAGCCGCGGUAAUACGUAGGUGGCAAGCGUUGUCCGGAUUUAUUGGGCGUAAAGCGAGCGCAGGCGGUUUUUUAAGUCUGAUGUGAAAGCCUUCGGCUCAACCGAAGAAGUGCAUCGGAAACUGGGAAACUUGAGUGCAGAAGAGGACAGUGGAACUCCAUGUGUAGCGGUGAAAUGCGUAGAUAUAUGGA